Molecule: ribosomal RNA, 400 nt
Filed under: Sphaeroforma tapetis
Lineage: Eukaryota; Ichthyosporea; Ichthyophonida
Description: partial small subunit ribosomal RNA
Rfam family: Eukaryotic small subunit ribosomal RNA
Source: RNAcentral
GCUUGUCUCAAAGAUUAAGCCAUGCAUGUCUAAGUAUAACUCUUUUACUUUGAAAACUGCGAACGGCUCAUUAUAUCAGUUAUAGUUUCUUUGAUAGUCCCUUACUACUUGGAUAACCGUGGUAAUUCUAGAGCUAAUACAUGCGUAAAAACCCGACUUCGGAAGGGUUGUAUUUAUUAGAUACAAAACCAACGCAGGGCUUGCCCUGGUUUUUGGUGAUUCAUAAUAACUUUUCGGAUCGCAUGGCGCAAGCCGGCGACGUUUCAUUCAAAUUUCUGCCCUAUCAACUUUCGAUGGUAAGGUAUUGGCUUACCAUGGUUACAACGGGUAACGGAGAAUUAGGGUUCGAUUCCGGAGAGGGAGCCUGAGAAACGGCUACCACUUCCAAGGAGGCAGCAGG